Non-coding RNA from Pelobates cultripes (western spadefoot toad), 293 nucleotides. NCBI's taxonomy places the organism in Eukaryota, Metazoa, Chordata, Amphibia, Anura, Pelobatidae. The record is from the annotation of a GenBank genome assembly.
CUCCUCGGUCCAAAAUAUUGUAUUUUAAUUACCUAGCGAACUAUUUUCUUGUUCUAUCUGGAACCAAGCAUUGUUAUGAAUAUUCGGCUUGGUCCAUACUAUUGCAUUUGUAACUAAACAAGCUUAAUGUAAUUUAGCAAUAUCUGGAAAUGAUAUGCCACCUCUAUCAUAUUUGUUUGUAGGAUCUUUUGGGAUAUUCUUUGUCUCUUAUUUGCCCAAAUAAAAUUAGAGAAUAAUUUUUGAUAUUGUAGAAAGUAUGCAUUAAUUGUAUUCCACCAUCCCAGCUAAGAAAU